Molecule: ribosomal RNA, 665 nt
Filed under: uncultured bacterium
Lineage: Bacteria
Description: bacterial SSU rRNA
Rfam family: Bacterial small subunit ribosomal RNA
Source: RNAcentral
AGAGUUUGAUCCUGGCUCAGAUUGAACGCUGGCGGCAUGCCUUACACAUGAANGUCGAACGGUAACAGGUCUUCGGAUGCUGACGAGUGGCGAACGGGUGAGUAAUACAUCGGAACGUGCCCGAGAGUGGGGGAUAACGGAGCGAAAGCUUUGCUAAUACCGCAUACGAUCUACGGAUGGAAGCAGGGGACCGCAAGGCCUUGCGCUCAUGGAGCGGCCGAUGGCAGAUUAGGUAGUUGGUGGGAUAAAAGCUUACCAAGCCGACGAUCUGUAGCUGGUCUGAGAGGACGACCAGCCACACUGGGACUGAGACACGGCCCAGACUCCUACGGGAGGCAGCAGUGGGGAAUUUUGGACAAUGGGCGCAAGCCUGAUCCAGCCAUGCCGCGUGCAGGAUGAAGGCCUUCGGGUUGUAAACUGCUUUUGUACGGAACGAAAAGACUCUUUCUAAUAAAGAGGGUCCAUGACGGUACCGUAAGAAUAAGCACCGGCUAACUACGUGCCAGCAGCCGCGGUAAUACGUAGGGUGCGAGCGUUAAUCGGAAUUACUGGGCGUAAAGCGUGCGCAGGCGGUUAUGUAAGACAGAUGUGAAAUCCCCGGGCUCAACCUGGGAACUGCAUUUGUGACUGCAUAGCUAGAGUACGGUAGAGGGGGAUGGAAUUCC